Dama dama (fallow deer) is the source of this 380-nucleotide long non-coding RNA. RefSeq lists it as uncharacterized. Lineage: Eukaryota; Metazoa; Chordata; Mammalia; Artiodactyla; Cervidae. The transcript is spliced from 3 exons. The record is from RefSeq and is a predicted model, not a curated record.
CCCUUUCUUUCCCUCUGUGCCCUGGUUUCUUGUUAUGUGCUAUGGAACGUCCACCUCCUCUCCGCCCUGAAUCUUGUAAGGCUCACAAGAGGAAAAUUCCUCAUCAAGCCCCACAGUUUGUGCAAUGCAGUGAUAGAAGGCUUUGAGCAUUUUCAGUGACUGGAAUAAAUCCGAGAAAAGUUAUGCACAGACAGAAGACUUUUUGAAGAUUUCAAAGACGAGAAAAGGAAGUUUGUAAGCGCAUAAAAACAUUUCUGGUGAUGCUUUGGAACAUUCCAUGAGGUCCGCUCUCCAAGCAGACUGAUUCCCAGGACUGGGCUAGACAGAUCCGAAAGAAGAGGCUCAUGUCCUUUCCCUGUGUCUAAAAUCUUUCCCCUGUU